ACGCUCGACACCUACGGGAGGCAGCAGUUAGGAAUAUUCGUCAAUGGGGGAAACCCUGAACGAGCAAUGCCGCGUGAGUGAUGAAGGCCCUAUGGGUUGUAAAACUCUGUUGUUGAGAAAGAAUUGUAAGAUUAGGAAAUGAGUCUUACUUGACGGUACUCUUCAAGAAAGCCUACGGCUAACUACGUGCCAACAGCCGCGGUAAUCUGAGCGGGCUGGCAAGGC
RNAcentral lists this ribosomal RNA (225 nucleotides) under uncultured bacterium. Its description in RNAcentral is "partial 16S ribosomal RNA". It matches the Rfam family "Bacterial small subunit ribosomal RNA", at positions 328 to 539 of the family's 1533-position model. The record is from RNAcentral.